UGGGGAAUUUUCCGCAAUGGGCGAAAGCCUGACGGAGCAAUGCCGCGUGGAGGUGGAAGGCCUACGGGUCGUCAACUUCUUUUCUCGAAGAAGAAACAAUGACGGUAUCUGAGGAAUAAGCAUCGGCUAACUCUGUGUCAG
RNAcentral lists this ribosomal RNA (141 nucleotides) under uncultured bacterium. RNAcentral's name for it is "partial 16S rRNA". It matches the Rfam family "Bacterial small subunit ribosomal RNA", at positions 355 to 511 of the family's 1533-position model. The record is from RNAcentral.